UGCAGUCGAGCGCGGGAGCGAACGGAAUCCUUCGGGAGGAAGUUCGUGGAACGAGCGGCGGACGGGUGAGUAACACGUGGGCAACCUGCCUGUAAGACUGGGAUAACCCCGGGAAACCGGGGCUAAUACCGGAUAAUACAUGGUUUCGCAUGAAACCAUGUUGAAAGAUGGCUUUUACGCUAUCACUUACAGAUGGGCCCGCGGCGCAUUAGCUAGUUGGUAAGGUAACGGCUUACCAAGGCAACGAUGCGUAGCCGACCUGAGAGGGUGAUCGGCCACACUGGGACUGAGACACGGCCCAGACUCCUACGGGAGGCAGCAGUAGGGAAUCUUCCGCAAUGGACGAAAGUCUGACGGAGCAACGCCGCGUGAACGAAGAAGGUUUUCGGAUCGUAAAGUUCUGUUGUUAGGGAAGAACAAGUGCCGUUCGAAUAGGGCGGCACCUUGACGGUACCUAUCGAGGAAGCCCCGGCUAACUACGUGCCAGCAGCCGCGGUAAUACGUAGGGGGCAAGCGUUGUCCGGAAUUAUUGGGCGUAA
This 539-nucleotide ribosomal RNA is filed under the name Gracilibacillus saliphilus. Its description in RNAcentral is "bacterial SSU rRNA". It matches the Rfam family "Bacterial small subunit ribosomal RNA", at positions 56 to 563 of the family's 1533-position model. Lineage: Bacteria; Bacillati; Bacillota; Bacilli; Caryophanales; Bacillaceae. The record is from RNAcentral.